RNAcentral lists this long non-coding RNA (747 nucleotides) under Numida meleagris (helmeted guineafowl). Its description in RNAcentral is "lncRNA (ENSNMEG00000015886.1)". Lineage: Eukaryota; Metazoa; Chordata; Aves; Galliformes; Numididae. The record is from RNAcentral.
GUAAAGCUGUGUCAGAUACGAGGAAAAUAAAAGCAGUGGGGGGAAGGUGCCUCUUCUGUUUCUUCAGAGAGCCAGGCACUGGAGAGCUGAUGAUUAGAUGGAGACCUGAAGAUCUAUGACAGGGCUGCUCAUCAGAAUCUCAGUGCUGGCUUCUACUUUGCCUAACCCAACAAAAGACACGUGCUUAUCAACUGCAGCGGAGCCUCAGCAUGAUUGUAACUGUGCUAAAAGAGGGUGAUCGUCAAGAGAAACAAGCAAACAGAAAAGGCAUGCGACUUCAUUCAAGGAACUCGGAGCCCAUUUCAAGUCAUUGCAUACUCAAGAGAAAGAAAAUGUUGGCUUCUGACUCAUAACCAUGUGGACCAACUGCAACCACAGGCUGUGCUGGAGCUCCUGAAACCAGACCAAGUUCUGUCCCGUGCUGCUGCAUCCCUUCCCACACCUGCCAUCCCCUGGGCUGCGCUGAAGCAGGAAGCAGGAAGCACCAUAAAUCUUGUGAAGAAGCCUUCUGGCAAGCUUCCUAGCCCGGCUCUGCUGAGCUCUGAGCUUUGGAUCAGUUGGAUAAACUUCAUCUGGCCUGUGCGUUCCACUGUUUUGCAACGGUGGGUGAUGGUUUUAAGUGGCUCGUCCUUGGCCUUUGAGUCUAUAACCACUUGGUUUUGUGGGCUUGGAUUGUUUCUGCAUGAAAAAGACCUUCAGCACAUGUCUCCUAACCCAUGGGUAAGUGCUUCUGAGUCUGGACUAUGA